ACAACUGAAUUGCUUUUUAUUAAACGUCCAAAGGAAAUAAUGCUCUCAGGGAAAAUACUCAACCUUUGAGCUUUCCAGUGCCAAAGAUUAGUGUACUAAAAUCAGUCUGUUAAAUGAGCUGUUAUCUUCUCAGCCUUAGACCUGACCACACAGAUGUCUGCAGUGUGACUGUCUGCCAGCACUCAUGAUGUAAUACCCUUUCCUGAAGGUGUAAAUGAUAAAAACAGAGUUUUUAUAUAGCGGGUUUCCAUACUGUAUUAGUGGGAGCAGAGGUUCUGCUUGAUAUAACAAGACAGUAGUUUAGGGAAUGUAUUUCCAUGAGUAAAAAAAGAUGUCUUGAAUGUCAAGGAUUUCUCAUAUCUGUUUGAACCCAUUUGGGCAUUACUGAGGAUGGAUCUGGAGCAACACUGUGGCUGUUCUGGGGGAAGACAGGAACCUGUUCACCUAAACAGUCUGAGACAGAGAAGCCAAUUUUGCUACUGCUUCGAACAGGUGCAAGGGCAGUCUCUGAGAUGCUGCAGUUCCUAAAGGAAUUCUCCAGGAAUUUGUCGUGCUAAUUUGCAUCCCAGGUUCUAGCAGGGAAUGCACGCCUCUCCCCAAAACCAGGCUUCAUAAGGAAUGUUAUUUCUGCCCUCUCGUGGCCACGGAACAUUUUGCAGUUUUGCAUCGAAG
RNAcentral lists this long non-coding RNA (672 nucleotides) under Parus major (Great Tit). RNAcentral describes it as "lncRNA (ENSPMJG00000001006.1)". The record is from RNAcentral. Lineage: Eukaryota; Metazoa; Chordata; Aves; Passeriformes; Paridae.